Molecule: long non-coding RNA, 400 nt
Organism: Sapajus apella (tufted capuchin)
Lineage: Eukaryota; Metazoa; Chordata; Mammalia; Primates; Cebidae
Exons: 3
Source: RefSeq, a predicted model, not a curated record
UUCAAUUCAUCAUGUACACUGCUACCAAAUUUAUUCUUCCUGGUUCAUACAUAUUAUGUGUUUUUCUUCUACUUAAAAAUCCUUCGAAACAUUAUAUUUCCUAUAGAAUAAAGCAUUUAACUGGAAAUACUAAGAUCUUUCAUAAAUUGGCAAUAAACUCUAUUCCCAGGCUUUUCCCCUUCCCAGCAGUUCCCAAUGCAACAAUUUGGGGGUCUGUAUUAGUCCUGUCUCACACUUCUAUAAAGAAAUAGCCAAGACUGGGUAAUUUACAAAGAAAGAGGUUUAAUUGACUCAAAGCUCCUCACGGUUGGAAAGGGCUUAGAAAACUUACGAUCAUGGCAGAAUGGGAAGCAGGCACCUUCUUCACAAGGUGGCAGGAGAGAGUAGUACAGAGCAAAGA